UGCUGUGCACCUGGUGUUUACGAACCUGCAAAACACUUUCUGUCUGAUCUUUAGCACUAUGUUUUGUUGGCAAAUGUGAGACAUACAUGAAAAUGUCUACAUCCUCACAGCCAGAAUCAAGAAAAAACUGCCAAAAUAGAUGGAGUCAGACACCAGCACACAUGAAUCUAACUCCACAGCGGUGGCGAAUUGGAAUAAUUACAGGACAAGUCGGCGUCUUGUACAAAUGACUGCCGGUGUUUCCAGUGAGAAGUUCCAGAGAGAGCGAGGCUGAG
This is a long non-coding RNA of Micropterus dolomieu (smallmouth bass), 275 nucleotides long. RefSeq lists it as uncharacterized. NCBI's taxonomy places the organism in Eukaryota, Metazoa, Chordata, Actinopteri, Centrarchiformes, Centrarchidae. The record is from RefSeq and is a predicted model, not a curated record. The transcript has 3 exons.